RNAcentral lists this long non-coding RNA (485 nucleotides) under Zostera marina. Its description in RNAcentral is "long non-coding RNA (ZMAR_LNC006022)". Lineage: Eukaryota; Viridiplantae; Streptophyta; Magnoliopsida; Alismatales; Zosteraceae. The record is from RNAcentral.
UUUUAUGCAAAUAAAUCAAGUGAAUAGAAUGCAAAAGACAAGGAAAAGAAGGGACUUUACAACAGGAGUGGAAAGAAAUUAAUUAGAUACCAACAAAUUUUGUGAUAACUGCAAGUAUUUGAAAAGAUUGUUUUCACUUGGUAGAUUUUCUAGCGAUUAAAAAAUCAUAAGACAACAACAAGAAAGUUAGAACAUAAAAUGAAAAUGAAGGAUCGGCCAACCAAGCAUCCACAUCUUAUGCAAUGUCGUAUUUGUCAAAUUUAGAUCGACCUCAUGACGCUCAAAGAUUUCUUGAGCAAAUCUUCAGGUGUGGAUUAUGUAUUUGAUGAAGGUGGGAACCUCAUCAGUGUCUAAUUGAUCGAUCCUGGAUUAUUCGAUCGUCGGACUUUUAAACGCAAGGGCCUUACCGGCCAGUCAAUCGACCGGAGGCUCUGAAUCUUUAGUCAGACGCUCCAUGUAUUCCUUGCUCUGAAAAUAGUCGAUUG